CAGAGAACUCUAACUACCCCUAAGUUAUUCUCCUGAGUUCCCAAUUGGAUUUCUCCUCCGUUCGCACUCUGCUGCCGCCUUCCAUGGCGUCGUCGUCGUCCGUCGCUGGGUGGUCGUCGUCCCUCUGCGUCGCCCACGGGUGCACUAUUCUGCUCCGCUCAUCCGCCUUACCUAUUGCAUCCCCUCGUUCCGCCUUGCCUCACUACGCCUCAGGUGCCUUGUCUCGAAUUGCCGCUCCUCGACUCUGUUUUGCUGUCUGGACUGGUUCUGCAACAACAGGUGAUGAUUGAAUUUUGUUUUAGUUUUUCAACUGUUGGAUCGGAGGAGAUGAACCAGGUGGCAUGUGGAAAGGAAACCAGUGAGAUGGCUUUCAUUUGUUUGAAUUGCAAAGAUCGGGAGUAGAAUGAACAUGUGGGUUUCUGUCAGCGUUGGGUAAUAAUUCUUCUUAAUAAUGUCUCCUUCCCACUACACUAAGAAUGGGAGAAAUGUUAUGCUUAAAACAACUAGUAGUCAAACGGCAUCCUCUCCCGAUUCUAAUGCUUCAGGUUGUGUGAAAUAUGUGGUGAGACUGCAAAAAAUGUUUCAGAAUCACAGGUUAUCAAUCAUUCAUUUAUGGAAGAGUGGAACGAAAGUAGGUUCAUCGACGAUGGUAAUAGUACCUCAACCAGCUUCUUUGGAAGAUGCUGGCGUGGACAGCCAUUCUGUAACUUUUUGAUGGCAUGCUUGGUCAUAGCUUUUGUUCUACCAUGAUUCUUCCGCGUAAAUAUGUUCUAGAAAGAGAGUUAGACACUGUGAUGAGUUCUUCAUUGUUUCCGGCGCACAUACUUCGGAAGGGGUGUUAACCUUGUCCAAAUUUCCAUAUCUCAAGGUUUGUGCCUGAAGCUUCAAUGUACAAAAAAUGUUACCAGCUAGGGAACUCACGGCCAAAUGGUUUCAUUAUAUGAGAUUUCACGGAUUUGAUGUGUGUCUUCUCUUCUGAGAUAUAUACAUUGUUGAUACAGAGAGAUUACUUUAAGGGUCCAAAAAAGAAAGAGCAAAAAAGUUAUUUGUGGUAGUUUAGAUGUUGUGUUAGAAUUCAGUACCUAAUUUGUUGAAAAAAAAA
Molecule: non-coding RNA, 1102 nt
Organism: Arachis ipaensis
Lineage: Eukaryota; Viridiplantae; Streptophyta; Magnoliopsida; Fabales; Fabaceae
Source: RefSeq, a predicted model, not a curated record